RNAcentral lists this microRNA precursor (61 nucleotides) under Microcaecilia unicolor. RNAcentral describes it as "Mun-Mir-181-P1b_pre stem-loop". It matches the Rfam family "mir-181 microRNA precursor family", at positions 12 to 73 of the family's 83-position model. Rfam says of the family: In this case the mature sequence comes from the 5' arm of the precursor. The extents of the hairpin precursors are not generally known and are estimated based on hairpin prediction. The products are thought to have regulatory roles through complementarity to mRNA. Lineage: Eukaryota; Metazoa; Chordata; Amphibia; Gymnophiona; Siphonopidae. The record is from RNAcentral.
AACAUUCAACGCUGUCGGUGAGUUUGAGUUAUCAUAGAAACCAUCGACCGUUGACUGUGCC